AGAGUUUGAUUAUGGCUCAGGAUGAACGCUGGCGGCGUGCCUAACACAUGCAAGUCGAACGAAGCAGGGGGGGCGGAAUUUUUUCGGAGAGGAAGCCCCCCUGACUGAGUGGCGGACGGGUGAGUAACGCGUGGACAACCUACCCCGCACUGGGGGACAACAGCCGGAAACGGCUGCUAAUACCGCAUAUGCGCACGGCCCCGCAUGGGGCCGCGCGGAAAGCGCAUGCGGUGCGGGAUGGGUCCGCGUCUGAUUAGCUUGUUGGCGGGGUAACGGCCCACCAAGGCGACGAUCAGUAGCCGGCCUGAGAGGGUGGACGGCCACAUUGGGACUGAGACACGGCCCAGACUCCUACGGGAGGCAUCCCCCCCGGAUAUUGCACAAUGGGGGCAACCCUGAUGCAGCGACGCCGCGUGAG
RNAcentral lists this ribosomal RNA (418 nucleotides) under uncultured bacterium. RNAcentral's name for it is "partial 16S ribosomal RNA". It matches the Rfam family "Bacterial small subunit ribosomal RNA", at positions 8 to 405 of the family's 1533-position model. The record is from RNAcentral.